This 253-nucleotide ribosomal RNA is filed under the name uncultured bacterium. RNAcentral's name for it is "partial 16S ribosomal RNA". It matches the Rfam family "Bacterial small subunit ribosomal RNA", at positions 524 to 776 of the family's 1533-position model. The record is from RNAcentral.
UACGUAGGGGGCUAGCGUUGUCCGGAAUCAUUGGGCGUAAAGCGCGUGUAGGCGGUCCGGUAAGUCCGCUGUGAAAGUCGGGGGCUCAACCCUCGAAUGCCGGUGGAUACUGUCGGGCUAGAGUGCGGAAGAGGCGAGUGGAAUUCCUGGUGUAGCGGUGAAAUGCGCAGAUAUCAGGAGGAACACCAAUUGCGAAGGCAGCUCGCUGGGACGUUACUGACGCUGAGACGCGAAAGCGUGGGGAGCAGACAGG